This 428-nucleotide ribosomal RNA is filed under the name uncultured Haliangium sp. Its description in RNAcentral is "bacterial SSU rRNA". It matches the Rfam family "Bacterial small subunit ribosomal RNA", at positions 355 to 774 of the family's 1533-position model. The record is from RNAcentral. Lineage: Bacteria; Pseudomonadati; Myxococcota; Haliangiales; Kofleriaceae.
UGGGGAAUAUUGGGCAAUGGGCGAAAGCCUGACCCAGCCACGCCGCGUGAGUGAUGAAGGCCUUCGGGUCGUAAAGCUCUGUGGGGAGGGACGAACAAGCUCGGUGUUAAUAACACCGGGCCCUGACGGUACCUCCUUAGCAAGCACCGGCUAACCCUGUGCCAGCAGCCGCGGUAAUACAGGGGGUGCAAACGUUGCUCGGAAUCAUUGGGCGUAAAGCGCACGUAGGCGGUUCGUUAUGUCGGAUGUGAAAGCCCUUGGCUUAACCGAGGAAGUGCAUCCGAAACUGGCGAGCUAGAGUACUAAAGAGGAUCGCGGAAUUCCCGGUGUAGAGGUGAAAUUCGUAGAUAUCGGGAGGAACACCGGUGGCGAAGGCGGCGAUCUGGGUAGAUACUGACGCUGAGGUGCGAAAGCGUGGGGAGCAAACA